GUCUCUCGCUGCCGCCGGAGUUCCAGGUCUCGACUUCAUGCUCGACUUCACUUCUCUGCUCCAGGAGGCCAGCCUGUGUGGCCCUGUGACCUGCAAGGUAUUGGAGAGCCACAGCUAAGACUCCAGGAACCCCUGGAAGCCUAGAAAUGGGACUGUUGACAUUUAGGGAUGUGGCCAUAGAAUUCUCUCUGGAGGAGUGGCAAUGCCUGGACACUGCACAGCAGAAUUUAUAUAGGAAUGUGAUGUUAGAGAACUACAGAAACCUGGCCUUCCUGGGUAUUGCUGUCUCUAAGCCAGACCUGAUUACUUGUCUGGAGCAAGGAAAAGAGCCCUGGAAUAUGAAGCAACAUGAGAUGGUGGAUGAACCUCCAG
RNAcentral lists this small RNA (372 nucleotides) under Pongo abelii (Sumatran orangutan). RNAcentral describes it as "processed transcript". The record is from RNAcentral. Lineage: Eukaryota; Metazoa; Chordata; Mammalia; Primates; Hominidae.